Molecule: ribosomal RNA, 369 nt
Filed under: uncultured bacterium
Lineage: Bacteria
Description: bacterial SSU rRNA
Rfam family: Bacterial small subunit ribosomal RNA
Source: RNAcentral
GUAGGGUGCAAGCGUUAAUCGGAAUUACUGGGCGUAAAGCGUGCGCAGGCGGUUUUGUAAGUCUGAUGUGAAAUCCCCGGGCUCAACCUGGGAAUUGCAUUGGAGACUGCAAGGCUAGAAUCUGGCAGAGGGGGGUAGAAUUCCACGUGUAGCAGUGAAAUGCGUAGAUAUGUGGAGGAACGCCGAUGGCGAAGGCAGCCCCCUCGGUCAAGAUUGACGCUCAUGCACGAAAGCGUGGGGAGCAAACAGGAUUAGAUACCCUGGUAGUCCACGCCCUAAACGAUGUCUACUAGUUGUCGGGUCUUAAUUGACUUGGUAACACAGCUAACGCGUGAAGUAGACCGCCUGGGGAGUACGGUCGCAAGAUUA